UAGACACUGGUAAAACAGUACAUCACACAGCCUUGUCAAGGUGGAAUUGCAAGUUAAAGUCUUGCGUGUCUUU
RNAcentral lists this transfer RNA (73 nucleotides) under Careproctus colletti (Alaska snailfish). RNAcentral's name for it is "tRNA-Asp". It matches the Rfam family "tRNA". From Rfam's summary of the family: Transfer RNA (tRNA) molecules are approximately 80 nucleotides in length. Lineage: Eukaryota; Metazoa; Chordata; Actinopteri; Perciformes; Liparidae. The record is from RNAcentral.